Long non-coding RNA from Tripterygium wilfordii, 549 nucleotides. RefSeq lists it as uncharacterized. NCBI's taxonomy places the organism in Eukaryota, Viridiplantae, Streptophyta, Magnoliopsida, Celastrales, Celastraceae. The transcript is spliced from 2 exons. The record is from RefSeq and is a predicted model, not a curated record.
UCUUCUAAAAUUGGAGGCCAUGGAGGAGGAGGAAGGGAUAGAUCAAUUAUUUUCCUUCUGGAGAUCUGAGUAUUCCAAGGCUUUUUCUUUACAGAAACAAGCAUUCAAGGGAAGGAGUUGGGGGUUGAGCUCUCCAUGGGUUUUUUUUUUUGGAGUUGAUGGGAAAGUAUUUGGAGGAAUACCUCCAAUGAAGAAACUAAAUUUGGACUAGUGGUUCUUGAGAGGGUUCAAGGUUGAUUUGAAAGGUUUAAGUGAUUAUGUGCAAUGUCCAUACAGAAGAAGCACAGUAAAUCAAAGUAGCACAAUAAAUCAUCAAAUUAUUAUGAAGCGGCAUCUCCGGUGUUGAAGAAGAAAGCAUGAUGAAGCGACUUCCUCUAACUACUUGUUACUGGGUUCGUACAAAAUUGCUUGCAAGUCCUCGAUGGCUUUGUCAAUCGCAUAAACUAUCAUUUUCUUAAUCUGGUACACAAAACCAGGAAGAUGUGUAAGCAAAUCAAUAAAUCAAACAAAAAAAACAAUAGCACUAUCCUUGGAAAAGGUUUACCUCAA